Molecule: ribosomal RNA, 240 nt
Filed under: uncultured Lactobacillus sp.
Lineage: Bacteria; Bacillati; Bacillota; Bacilli; Lactobacillales; Lactobacillaceae
Description: partial 16S ribosomal RNA
Rfam family: Bacterial small subunit ribosomal RNA
Source: RNAcentral
UAACCUGCCCAAGAGAUCGGGAUAACACCUGGAAACAGAUGCUAAUACCGGAUAACAACAGAUGAUGCCUAUCAACUGUUUAAAAGAUGGUUCUGCUAUCACUCUUGGAUGGACCUGCGGUGCAUUAGCUAGUUGGUGGGGUAACGGCCUACCAAGGCGAUGAUGCAUAGCCGAGUUGAGAGACUGAUCGGCCACAUUGGGACUGAGACACGGCCCAAACUCCUACGGGAGGCAGCAGCU